This is a long non-coding RNA of Mastomys coucha (southern multimammate mouse), 250 nucleotides long. RefSeq lists it as uncharacterized. The transcript is spliced from 2 exons. The record is from RefSeq and is a predicted model, not a curated record. NCBI's taxonomy places the organism in Eukaryota, Metazoa, Chordata, Mammalia, Rodentia, Muridae.
GGUGGCAAAUGUUCUUCCACUGUGACAGAUGAGAAGGGCUUCCCAUGGCCCACCACCUCCAGGCCAUCGAUAUCCUAAGAGGAGUAGAGAGAGGGAAUAUGAGCUGGCUGUCAGAUGCAUGUUGAAAUGGUAGAACGGCUCUAAGUGAGAUGCACUUUAGCAUGGUUUAUUGAACUCCAUAUAUGAAGACUAUUACUCCAACAUGCAAUCAACAUAAAAAUGACUACUAAAAUAAUUUUUUCUCCCCAAA